CCUUCACAUUCUGCUUCUUCUUCCUUCUUAUAUCUCGCUUUUUAAGUACGUGUUCUAAGGCAUGCUGAUCUCGCUUCAAAAAGUAAUGAGCUUCCCUUUGAGUUAUCACAAAUUGUCUUUUUUUUCUGAUUUUGUUUUUUCUUCUUAAGUAGUUACUCAUGGCAGGUUUCUAUUGAAUAGCCGCCACCCGUGUGAUUAUCUCAGCGUCCGCAGCCAGCAAGCGCCGUCCCGGGCCGCGCGCAUAUCACGAGCGCUCUCGCGAUCUACUGACGCAACCCCCGAUGACAGCCAGUGGAAGCCACGAAGAGCUGCGGCCCAGCCCGGACUUCGUGGCGUGUUUCCACCGCCGACUGGUUCCCGCCACCCCCGCAGUCGUCGUUUCCGACUCGUGACCAACACACCUCCGCGCACCAGAAUAAGCACAGUCACUGAGUGGCGACUUUUGCACAGAGUGGCUGUUCUCUAACCUGGGCUAGACGCACCACAAGUCUCCCUGAAGUUGUGCGGCAUCCAAGAUGAUCCUCAAGAUUUUUAUUGGGCAAGACAAUUCAACAACGGUGCAGAUAGAAGGACGACUGCUCACCAUACUCUGGAUGGCGGGUUUGUCGUACCUCCUGACACAGUGCUUUCUCAGAGUCGCAAGAAGAGUGACGACUGCGUUGGGCUUCACAGAAAAUGGGGUUCUUGGAGGAUCUCUUGCAGCGGCAUGGCAAGCAUUGUACGGUGGACAAGUGUCUGCGAAUACCUUGUUUUCGUAUCUCCAGUCUUUUGGAAUGGUCGGACCCACAUUCCCCCAACAAGGUGCCCUAUUCGCUCUGGUAUUCCUCGUGCUCCAGAUUCUUUUUUGAACACGAAUAAAAAGCACACAAUUGGGUGGCUGUGAA
Molecule: long non-coding RNA, 884 nt
Organism: Dermacentor andersoni
Lineage: Eukaryota; Metazoa; Arthropoda; Arachnida; Ixodida; Ixodidae
Source: RefSeq, a predicted model, not a curated record